This 253-nucleotide ribosomal RNA is filed under the name uncultured bacterium. RNAcentral describes it as "partial 16S ribosomal RNA". It matches the Rfam family "Bacterial small subunit ribosomal RNA", at positions 524 to 776 of the family's 1533-position model. The record is from RNAcentral.
GACAGAGGGUGCAAACGUUGUUCGGAUUUACUGGGCGUAAAGCGCGUGUAGGCGGCUUGGCGAGUCGGAUGUGAAAGCCCACGGCUCAACCGUGGAAGCGCAUCCGAAACUGCUUCGCUCGAGUCUCGGAGAGGAAGGUGGAAUGCUUGGUGUAGAGGUGAAAUUCGUAGAUAUCAAGCAGAACACCUGCGGCGAAGGCGGCCUUCUGGACGAUGACUGACGCUGAGACGCGAAAGCGUGGGGAGCAAACAGG